ACUCCCGUUCUUGGCAGGCCCUGGCCGCCCCGUGCCCGGGUCUGUGAUGUCCGGAGGUAGAGCAGCGACUCUUUCACGGGCACCCUCUUGCUAUGGGGAAGGAGCAUCGUAGGAGAAGGACAACU
This 125-nucleotide small nucleolar RNA is filed under the name Buceros rhinoceros silvestris. RNAcentral describes it as "Small nucleolar RNA SNORA57". It matches the Rfam family "Small nucleolar RNA SNORA57". Rfam says of the family: U99 belongs to the H/ACA class of snoRNAs which are thought to guide the sites of modification of uridines to pseudouridines, the target for this family is unknown. The record is from Rfam by way of RNAcentral. Lineage: Eukaryota; Metazoa; Chordata; Aves; Bucerotiformes; Bucerotidae.